Molecule: ribosomal RNA, 502 nt
Filed under: uncultured bacterium
Lineage: Bacteria
Description: bacterial SSU rRNA
Rfam family: Bacterial small subunit ribosomal RNA
Source: RNAcentral
AUUGAACGCUGGCGGAAUGCUUUACACAUGCAAGUCGAGCGGCAGCGCGGGGGCAACCCUGGCGGCGAGCGGCGAACGGGUGAGUAACAUAUCGGAACGUACCCCGUCGUGGGGGAUAACACAGCGAAAGCUGUGCUAAUACCGCAUACGACCUGAGGGUGAAAGCGGGGGAUCGCAAGACCUCGCGCGAUGGGAGCGGCCGAUAUCGGAUUAGCUUGUUGGUGAGGUAAAGGCUCACCAAGGCGACGAUCCGUAGCUGGUAUGAGAGGACGACCAGCCACACUGGAACUGAGACACGGUCCAGACUCCUACGGGAGGCAGCAGUGGGGAAUAUUGGACAAUGGGCGCAAGCCUGAUCCAGCAAUGCCGCGUGUGUGAAGAAGGCCUGCGGGUUGUAAAGCACUUUCAGGGGGGAAGAAAGGGUCGGGGUUAAUACCCCGUGGCUUCUGACGUUACCCCCAGAAGAAGCACCGGCUAACUCCGUGCCAGCAGCCGCGGUAAU